RNAcentral lists this ribosomal RNA (678 nucleotides) under Triticum aestivum (bread wheat). RNAcentral's name for it is "partial small subunit ribosomal RNA". The record is from RNAcentral. Lineage: Eukaryota; Viridiplantae; Streptophyta; Magnoliopsida; Poales; Poaceae.
CACUACACAUUUGACAAGAUGAAUGCAUACUUUUUAAAGUACUCAAUGGAGACGGAUAAACAGAUUGCUGGUGAGAACAAGGAAAAGCACAAGUUUCCCACCAAGGUUGAAGAAUGAUUAGAAUUUAAAUCACUAAAGGCAGACUCCCAAGAAGCUAUACUAUAUGACGACAACGAUUGGAUGUAUGACAUGAAAGAGCCUGGAGGAACCACAAACGAUGGCCACCAACACGGAGGCCGGGCUUUCAAUGUCUCCCUAACAUGGUGUGAUUGCACUUGCAUGAGGCCAUCGUUGCUUCGUCUCCCAUGUUCGCACUUGUUAAACGCAUCUCGUGUUAGGAAUGUGGACGUCAAUCACCCUCUUACCGUGCGGGAGUCCGAGUUCUCAAUCAUGACGAUAAAGAAUACUGGGGCUCCCCGGUUUCAGCCAUACUUGGACCAGUCACAAUGGCCGGAGUAUCAUGGAGUUCAACUAUGGCCGGACCCGGAAUUGAAGGUCAUCAGACGGGGAAGACGUAUGACAAAGCGUCUUAGAGUUGACAUGGACGGACGGGGCCAUGGUGGCGAUCGAGAAUCCGGCACUGGCCAAUUCCAAGAGCCUCUUGAGAAAUCCCAUUGUGGGGAAUGCAAUGAUGGGGGACACAACACAAGAACUUGUAGCAAACCAAGAAAGAGAUGA